UGCGUAGGCGGAAUAGUAAGUCAGGGAUGAAAGUUUGCGGCUCAACCGUAAAAUUGCCUUUGAUACUGUUAUUCUUGAGUACAUUUGAGGUAGGCGGAAUGUGUUGUGUAGCGGUGAAAUGCUUAGAUAUAACACAGAACACCGAUUGCGAAGGCAGCUUACUAAACUGUAACUGACGCUGAUGCACGAAAGCGUGGGGAUCGAACA
RNAcentral lists this ribosomal RNA (207 nucleotides) under uncultured bacterium. Its description in RNAcentral is "partial 16S ribosomal RNA". It matches the Rfam family "Bacterial small subunit ribosomal RNA", at positions 568 to 774 of the family's 1533-position model. The record is from RNAcentral.